GGCAGGAUCAACCAGGUAGCAUCCCUAAUUGACAUUACCCGCCCGCUGGUACGAGCCAACACGGGACAGGCAAGUCUUUCAAGGUGAUGCGCCACUCUUUGACAAACCCUCCUGAUCCCAAUGGCAAAGCCGAUUCAGGCAAGACAGUAGGUCAUGUUAACUUUGACAAACCCUCCUGAUGGCAAAGCCAAAUCAGGCAAGACAGUAGGCAUUGUUAACUUUGACAAACCCUCCUGAUGGCAAGGCCAAUUCAGGCAAGACAGUAUGCAUUGUUAACUUUGACAAACCCUCCCUAUGGCAAAGCCGUUUCAGGCAAGACAGUAAGCAUUGUUAACUUUGACAAACCCUCCUGAUGGCAAAGGCGUUUCAGGCAAGACAGUAAGCAUUGUUAACUUUGACAAACCCUCCCGAUGGCAGGGCCAAAUCAGGCAAGACAGUAAGCAUUGUUAACUUUGACAAACCCUCCCGAUGGCAAGGCCAAACCAGGAAAGACAGCAGUCAUGUUAAGAGAGGCACAAACGCUAAAUGAGGGCAAAACAAGGAUCCCAUGAGACCCCAUGCCCACAUCGUUUUCCAUAUCCAGGAUACCAAGCAACGCUCAAUGGGCCACAACAUCAACGCAAGCAUAAUGUUGUGGAUCAAGGAGACCGCUUUGUGGUUCAUCCGAUGCCACAAAAAUGGCACGAGACGAAAUCAACUGUAAUCAACCAAGACAAUACCAAUGCUUAGGUACGCAACACAGAAACCCACAAUUUGGCCAGGCAAUAGAUGCCCAAACAAACAACUGAAGAGGUAUGCCGGGUGGA
RNAcentral lists this unclassified non-coding RNA (806 nucleotides) under Bidens beckiana. RNAcentral describes it as "partial external transcribed spacer". Lineage: Eukaryota; Viridiplantae; Streptophyta; Magnoliopsida; Asterales; Asteraceae. The record is from RNAcentral.